CCUACGGGAGGCAGCAGUGAGGGAUAUUGGUCAAUGGGCGCGAGCCUGAACCAGCCAAGCAGCGUGAAGGAUGACUGUCCUACGGGUUGUAAACUUCUUUUAUGAAGGAAUAAAGUGAGGCACGUGUGCCUUUUUGUAUGUACUUUAUGAAUAAGGAUCGGCUAACUCCGUGCCAGCAGCCGCGGUAAUACGGAGGAUCCGAGCGUUAUCCGGCUUUAUUGGGUUGAAAGGGAGCGUAGAUGGGUUGUUAAGUCAGUUGUGAAAGUUUGCGGCUAAACCGGAAAAUUGCAAUUGAUACUGGCAUUCUUGAGUACAGUGGAGUAAGGGGGAAUUCGAGGGGUAGCGGGGAAAUGCUUAGAUAUAACGAAGAAAUCCGAUGGCGAAGGCAGCUUACGAAACUGCCACGGACAUUGAUGCUGGAAAGGGUGGGUAUCAAACAGGAUUAGAUACCGUGUAGUC
Molecule: ribosomal RNA, 459 nt
Filed under: uncultured bacterium
Lineage: Bacteria
Description: partial 16S ribosomal RNA
Rfam family: Bacterial small subunit ribosomal RNA
Source: RNAcentral